AGUUCCACUGGGGCAUAGUUGACUCUCGAUCCAGGCUGGAGUUUUAUUCAUAUGACCGUGAACUAUGCACCAAAACAUUUAGCUUUUUUGUUAUUUUUCCAGUUGCUGGGGAAACUAGGCUGGAGGGAAUCUGUGCGUGGAGAAAAGGCUCGGUCUGACAAUACAGUAUAGUCGCCACUAUGAUAUCGGGCCUAUAUGCAAGAUACUUAUCGGAAGCUAAGACCAGCAUCGCUUGGACCAUCAUGGACCAAAGAGACAUUAGUUCCCAUUAUGGCAUUAAUUACGCAGUGAACAUCUCGCAGCCUGAGCAGUCAAGCAGUUUGUCAAAUUAACGUGAUACUCUUUUUCUUGGUAUAUGGGAGUCUGGAGCAACGAUGUAAGGAACCCGGAACUAAUAAAAAGGACAUAGCAAUUA
RNAcentral lists this unclassified non-coding RNA (415 nucleotides) under Lingula anatina. RNAcentral's name for it is "uncharacterized LOC106161228, transcript variant X2". Lineage: Eukaryota; Metazoa; Brachiopoda; Lingulata; Lingulida; Lingulidae. The record is from RNAcentral.